ACGGGAGGCAGCAGUAGGGAGUUUUCGGCAAUGGGGGAAACCCUGACCGAGCAACGCCGCGUGAAUGAUGAAGGUCUUCGGAUUGUAAAGUUCUGUUAUAAGGGAAAAAUGAUAGGGUGAGGAAAUGCUCUCUAUUUGAUGGUACCUUAUUAGAAAGCCACGGCUAACUACGUGCCAGCAGCCGCGGUAAUACGUAGGUGGCAAGCGUUAUCCGGAAUUAUUGGGCGUAAAGAGUGAGCAGGCGGCAUGGUAAGUUUGAAGUGAAAGCGUGGGGCUUAACCCCAUACAGCUUCGAAAACUGCCAGGCUAGAGUGCGGGAGAGGUAAACGGAACUCCAUGUGUAGCGGUGAAAUGCGUAGAUAUAUGGAAGAACACCAGUGGCGAAGGCGGUUUACUAGCCCGAUACUGACGCUCAGUCACGAAAGCGUGGGGAGCAAAUAGGAUUAGAUACCCUGGUA
Molecule: ribosomal RNA, 458 nt
Filed under: uncultured Clostridium sp.
Lineage: Bacteria; Bacillati; Bacillota; Clostridia; Eubacteriales; Clostridiaceae
Description: partial 16S ribosomal RNA
Rfam family: Bacterial small subunit ribosomal RNA
Source: RNAcentral